AACGAACGCUGGCGGCAUGCCUAACACAUGCAAGUCGAACGAGACCUUCGGGUCUAGUGGCGCACGGGUGCGUAACGCGUGGGAACCUGCCCUUAGGUUCGGAAUAACUCCCCGAAAGGGGUGCUAAUACCGGAUAAUGUCUUCGGACCAAAGAUUUAUCGCCUUUGGAUGGGCCCGCGUUGGAUUAGCUAGUUGGUAGGGUAAAAGCCUACCAAGGCGACGAUCCAUAGCUGGUCUGAGAGGAUGAUCAGCCACACUGGGACUGAGACACGGCCCAGACUCCUACGAGAGGCAGCAGUGGGGAAUAUUGGACAAUGGGCGAAAGCCUGAUCCAGCAAUGCCGCGUGAGUGAUGAAGGCCUUAGGGUUGUAAAGCUCUUUUACCCGGGAUGAUAAUGACAGUACCGGGAGAAUAAGCUCCGGCUAACUCCGCG
Molecule: ribosomal RNA, 433 nt
Filed under: uncultured bacterium
Lineage: Bacteria
Description: partial 16S ribosomal RNA
Rfam family: Bacterial small subunit ribosomal RNA
Source: RNAcentral